Molecule: long non-coding RNA, 238 nt
Organism: Solanum tuberosum (potato)
Lineage: Eukaryota; Viridiplantae; Streptophyta; Magnoliopsida; Solanales; Solanaceae
Exons: 3
Source: RefSeq, a predicted model, not a curated record
CUCUCAUUUCCUUUUCCUUCUCCACAAACCUCUCUUUUAGUUAUUAGCCACAUCCACUCCUUAUCUCCCCACACAAAGCUCAAGGUCUAUAUCCUUAGAAAAGAAGGAUUGGCAAUUUUACUGUGGAAUUUCAGUACAUUGAAAAAUUGAAUGAAGAGUAAAGUUAUUAGAUAAGUUGGCUACAUUAGCAUAUAAGGAGUAACAUUUUUAUUUUCUUAUUGACGACUAACAUUAUGUA